CAAUAGCGUAUAUUAAAGUUGUUGCAGUUAAAAAGCUCGUAGUUGAAUUUCGGGUCCCCGCGCUCGGCGCUUCAUUGUGCCGUCGUGGUGUCCCUCCUCGCCGUAAGGCGUCCUUUACUGUGAAAAAAUUAGAGUGUUCAAAGCAGGCAAUCGCUUGAAUACAUUAGCAUGGAAUAAUAAGAUAGGAUCUUGUCUAUUUUGUUGGUUGCGGACAACGAUAAUGAUUAAUAGGGAUAGUUGGGGGUGUCCGUAUUGAGCUGUCAGAGGUGAAAUUCUUGGAUUUGCUCAAGACGAACUACCGCGAAAGCAUUCACCAAGGAUGUUUUCAUUAA
Molecule: ribosomal RNA, 332 nt
Filed under: uncultured eukaryote
Lineage: Eukaryota
Description: partial 18S ribosomal RNA
Rfam family: Eukaryotic small subunit ribosomal RNA
Source: RNAcentral